GUCCUCCGCAUUGGCACGUCCAUCUCUGUUGGCUCCGGGUCCUCGACCCUGUUCUGGUUCGACCGGUGGCUAGGGGACUCCCCCCUGGCUGUGCGAUUCCCAGGACUCUUUGCCAUUGCGGCCGACCCUCGGGUCUCAGUCGAGACGGCCCUUAUUGACUUAGGGCGUCUUGCUUUUCGUCGUCCCUUCGGCCCCCUCGAGGUGGCUGCUUGGGAGUCCCUCCUCCAAGACGUCGCCCUUAUGCCGAUGAACGUCGAGGAGGACCAGGAUGCCAUUUCCUGGCGCCUUGAGCCGUCUGGCCGCUUCUCCACGAAGUCCUUGUACGCUGCCAUCGCGCCCUCGACGGCCUCGGAACCCUUUAGCCUGAUCUGGGACAUCCGCCUACCUAUGAAGAUCAGGAUCUUCCUGUGGCAAUGGAUCCGUGGA
RNAcentral lists this ribosomal RNA (426 nucleotides) under Triticum aestivum (bread wheat). RNAcentral describes it as "partial small subunit ribosomal RNA". Lineage: Eukaryota; Viridiplantae; Streptophyta; Magnoliopsida; Poales; Poaceae. The record is from RNAcentral.